AUCAAAUAAUGCCCCUCCCCCGACAAUAAUCACGCAGUGCAGGUUUGGAAGUGUGACACCUGUAUGAUGAUUCUGUCUCUAAAUUUGAAUGCUGACUCGUUAACUCGUUGACGGUAAUAGAACGAUCAGUUUCCUCGAAGGGUGACUCGGCCAUGAGUGAUGACAUCACCGCCGCUCAACUGGGCGGAGCCCGAAAUGGCUUUGAGGUGGUUUUGUUGGAGCUUGUAGGCGAAAAGUCUUAUCAAAUUUUCCCUCCUGAGAGUUGUUGCUCCCAGCAAAGCCGUGAAAUGGAUCUCCGAGGGUUUAUUCUGGGCCCGAGCGGACUCGGACAGCCUUCAGUAGGUCCGUCCGAGGAAGUCGGGGCCGCGUCGACGAGACCGCAGCGUCUAAAGCAGUCGAUUGGAUUCGGCUCACGUCUCGUCUUACGGGAGCGUCACUGCGAUCCAGCUGAGCCUGAGACGUGUCCACGUGUGGACGUCAGCUUCUGGCGUGAGGCUCUCUAUUGUGAAAACUGGAACAAACUAGACUCAGAAGAGCCGAGGAAGCAGAGAAGCUGCCUGAAAACCUGCACAGGUGCGUCCCUGGUGGGACUAAACCUGCUGUCAAGUCAGCACGCUGGUUUAUUUAGGUUAGUCAGCGUGUCCAUGACCACCGGGGAAGCGCUGACCUCAAACGGGGAUUCAUCCUCGGAGCAGCGACGUCCGGACCAGCUUCCCAACAACCAACCAAGAGGAAGAAAAAGCAAUACGGGCUGACGUGCGAGUGCUUCUGGGUGGGCGGGGCCAAACAAUAAGGCCGCUGUGGUCGCCUCAUUUAGACCUGAAUACCAGAUCUGCUCCGCUUGGGUUCACCCUCACAGAGCCAGUCAGCGUUCCUGGUCCUGCCCGGAGCUUCACCCACACCCAGUUAGCCAGCGUUAUAUAACGUGCACGGACAAAAAUCUAAGAAACAAACGUAUUAACAGGCGAAACCUACAUAAAACCACAGAGGGGGAUUGUGCGAUUCCAAAAAACGAGGCUUCUGGCUUUGAUCUUCAGCGCCACCUUCUUUGAUCUGUGACAUUAAUUCCGUCACGUUGACAUUCAGAGAUCCGCCCGCUCCCACGGCGACGCAAAUAAAGAUCUCUGAUCUGGCAGCAGGUCCCAGAUCGGCGCUUAAACGGCGGUAACAGAUUAACGAGGGAGUCUGGAGGCUCGCGGGGGCGCAGCAGAGGGGUUUGUGGGUAAUCCUGAUGUGAGAUGAGGGGCGGCCCAACGAUCAAGGCGUAGAGGAUGGACGGGGGAUUUACUGGCUGUGACCUGGGUUGGGUUUGGUCCCUCAGAAUAGCAGCAUGACAUCACCCAUGAAGUCACACAUCUGGACACGCUAUUAAAACCAUUAAAUCCAGUUCAGGCUCGUUUUUGUGGCUCAGAGUAGCGCCGGGCGGCCCGGAGGAGGAGGAGGAGGAGGAGGAGGAGGAGGAGGAGGAGGAGGACCAGAGGCUGGUGGAGGGAAUAAAAAUGACUGGUGGUUUUUCUGGCGAAGGAUGAAUAAAACCAGAUUAAACCCACGUGUUCCAGCAGGAGUCCGGCCCCACAGA
Long non-coding RNA from Takifugu rubripes (torafugu), 1579 nucleotides. NCBI's taxonomy places the organism in Eukaryota, Metazoa, Chordata, Actinopteri, Tetraodontiformes, Tetraodontidae. The record is from Ensembl.